UGAAACACAAUUAAAAAUGCUAAUCACAAUAAAAACGCUGUCAAAAACGUCACUGUUGACAAAUAAAAACCGCAUAAAUCGUAGUGGAAAUGGGUUUUGGAGAUUAUCUCAAAUUAAGUGGAUUUGGGCUCUAGUGGAAACAUGGUUUAAGCAAGCAACAUCCGAAUAUUUUGAGGAUUACAUGUCCGUGCAGCCUACAAAUUUUUUAACAUACCAUGUAUUAUCCCAGAAGCUCGAUUGAUGUGGUUUGUCCAGAUGGUUCCAAACCAAACGACCAGGUGGGCUUUGGGGUGUACUCUGAAGAACUAGGACUGAUCAUAUCGAGAAAGAGAUUCUUGCAAUUAAAGAAGUGGUGGAAUGGCUAAGAUAUAAUGUCAAAACGACAAUUGGUAUAAAUAUCUUCUCAGACAGCCACUAAGCCCCUGAAAAAUAUAUUUCUGAAUUCCAAAGCCGCCCUCGACUGUUGCAAAUCUCUCAAUGAGAAGGUCGAAAACCUUCUUUUUAGAUGAAAACUAAAAAGAGUUUCUUAAGUUGCGAAAGCAAUAGAUCGCCAUUAACCACGUCAAAAGCCUGGCUGUGAUCUAAAAGAAAGGAUGUCACAUUAUUAUCCUGGUGUUGGCGAAAAUCGUCAGCGACAUCGUUAGGAGUGGUGGUGAAUCUACUUCAGGACUAUAUUUUUAACUACAUUUCUAAAAAAAAAUUUUAUUAUUUUUCAUAAAAUGUUGUACGAAAUAUUUGCACCCUCUGUUCACCCCAACCUAAUACAAUUUUAUAUGUAUGUAA
This is a long non-coding RNA of Stomoxys calcitrans (stable fly), 783 nucleotides long. RefSeq lists it as uncharacterized. The transcript has 2 exons. The record is from RefSeq and is a predicted model, not a curated record. Lineage: Eukaryota; Metazoa; Arthropoda; Insecta; Diptera; Muscidae.